GCCUGUGUGGCUCAGUCGGUUAAGCGUCUGACUUCAGCUCAGGUCAUGAUCUCAUGGUUUGUGAGUUUGAGCCCCACAUCGGGCU
RNAcentral lists this transfer RNA (85 nucleotides) under Felis catus (domestic cat). It matches the Rfam family "tRNA". From Rfam's summary of the family: Transfer RNA (tRNA) molecules are approximately 80 nucleotides in length. Their secondary structure includes four short double-helical elements and three loops (D, anti-codon, and T loops). Further hydrogen bonds mediate the characteristic L-shaped molecular structure. tRNAs have two regions of fundamental functional importance: the anti-codon, which is responsible for specific mRNA codon recognition, and the 3' end, to which the tRNAs corresponding amino acid is attached (by aminoacyl-tRNA synthetases). tRNAs cope with the degeneracy of the genetic code in two manners: having more than one tRNA (with a specific anti-codon) for a particular amino acid; and 'wobble' base-pairing, i.e. permitting non-standard base-pairing at the 3rd anti-codon position. The record is from Rfam by way of RNAcentral. Lineage: Eukaryota; Metazoa; Chordata; Mammalia; Carnivora; Felidae.